AUAGAUAUAUACCAGGUCUCGAUUCGUCGGAUCGCGGUUGCCGGUAAGGCGGCUAGGGCGCUCUUGCUCGGCGCUAGUACUCUUCGACGGCGCCGGCCACGACGGUGCCUGGGCAGAUUCAUCCCUUGCUUUUCAUUUUCGUCGCUUCUUCGUCUCCUCUUCCUUUGCGGGAGCCAUUAGGGCAUUUGAGGGGGGGUUACCGCGGCUCCUUUGCUACUAGAUAGACCUCGGCUCGCCGUGCCGCUACCGGACGUGGCUGGGGCUAGCCGCAGGGAGCGGUUAGAGCUGUGGAAGGCUCGCUUCGAUCGCCCUGUUAGCAAGAGGCUCCAGGGGGGCAUGUAGGGCUGUGUCUGGGCAGGCUCUUCUGCCCUUCGGCUGGGGAGGUAGUUUUCUGUUCAUCGGUUCGGCCCGACUGGCCAAGCUCGCCGAUUCUACUCUAGCGCUCUCACAGGUUCUUCAUCUUAUUUCCGGCAAAGUUUCUCCCUUUUGAGCCCACCCAUACAUACUCACGUAGAUGCACACGGACGGACCUAAUUGGUGGCCAAUUAGCCAGUCAUACAGCAGCGUCCAAUUCAGGUUGGACGCCCUCUUUGUGUGAAUGGUCAGUAAGCUCACCAAAAUCACUCCAUUGCGGGUGCUACGGGGAUCCAAUUUCCUCCACCGGAAUUCCGUUCUGGAUCUCACUAGCUGCGCGCACUGACAUUCUGAAGAUCAUUUCGAGUUUUUAUCUGCGUCGUACCCGUGUGUUCGUGCUCUCUUUUGCGUCAUGAAGCUCGGAACGGGCGAUGAUGGGUCUCAUUUCAUCCUCGUCGCCCCUUUUGCUCGGCCCUUUCAAUCCGUAUUACGGUAUUUUAGAUAGAGCUUCCCCACCCCGUUUGCAGGAUUAUCCGGUGGCCGGGUUUGGGGGGGGGGGGGGGGGGCGGUGCUGGCAUCCGCCCCCGCCGGUGGGCGUGUAACCCGAAGGCUGCCCAUUGACUCCCCCAGAAUCUCAGCGCCACCAACGGAUGGGCCCCCGGCUCCUUGCAUUUGGAAACGCGGCGAGGGAGGGAUGAUCGCGUUUCAUCGCAACGGCUGCGUGCGGAUUCAAUCGUCGUAGUGCAUGCGCGCCCGAUCGUGAUGACAUAUAUUUUAUCAGCCGGUGUGGCGUCGGCGCAGAAGAACUCGGGACCCUUAUUCUCAUCUCAUUCAAUCGUCGAGUUGUUUGCGUCCGCGAUCGAGAUGAUUCAUACUAUAGCAGUCGGUGUGGUAUCGGCGGAGAAGAACUCGGCCCUUUCCCAACAUACUCGUUGGGAAGGAACAGUCGCCAGAGCCAAUAGAUAGGUGGCGCCAGCCGAAGCCUAAAUCGUACGACGCCCCGCUGAUGCUCCCGGGGCCAUAGUUAUUUCGGAGACUGGUUCGGCGCCACAGCGGUUGGGCGAACGUUUCCUUCUUCUUUUCGCCCUGCUGGACUGAUGUGGCCCUCCUCGUCUGCGAGCUCCGGGGUCAGCAGACAUUCGCCCUCUCCGCCACCCAACUCCGAUAGUCCUCGAGCAGCUGGUCCACGAGACGGGGAACGAGCCUGUCGAUCAAGCCUUGCACGAUCCUGCGCACAGCAGGGGGGUGGGGUUGGGGGAGGAGAGAAGUUGAGGGAGGCAUUAUGAGACACGAGAGCCUUAUAAAUAAGCAAGCUGGCUGCGUUAUAAAAAACAGGGGGCGACAGCCCGACGCCGCCACCCAGACUUGACUUGGCUUGCUCGGGCUGGCUACUCACAGGUUCCCGGGGGUCUCCACCGCGGAUAUUGGGAGCAGCGUGAACGGCUUCGUGUAGACCUGCGAGAUAACACGUCGUGAGCCAUCAUCAGCAGCAACGAUACCUGAGUUGUUUGUGAUCAUAUUCAUAUUCUCCGCCAUGCCAUUCAGCGAAGCAAGCGACACUGCGGGAACAGGCAGUUUAAAGGAGAGGAAUUCUAAACAGAUCUCUCCAGGGAAAGAGAAUGGCUCACGACCUCGAGGGCAACCCUCAAAUUCACGUCGAAGUUCAAGGACGGCUCCGGGGAGUCCUCGUCCCAGGUUAUAUGAUUCCUCAUCGCCGCUGCACGAGUGAACGCGACGUCAGGAAGAGAGCGGGCCGACCGAAAGCGAAAACAAGAUGGAAGUGGGUUCCGCAGAUCGCGACCCGCCCAACCCACCCAUCCAACGAGCUACGACGAUUCGUUUUCAGAAUGGCAGGCGAAAGAGCUCUUUCAACAAUCCAUUCUCACGCCAUUUUUACAUGAUGGACCCCUCCUCCCCCACCCCUCUCGGAAGGGAAGCCACCACAAGACGGCAGAGAAACCCGAGAAUUCUUCUCCGAAAAGUAUGGUUUUUUUGAACGCUUAAGCCGUCGUAUUCACGAUCGGCCGGCGCAUUGGAGAGUGCUUCAAAGAAGUGCCGGGAGGCCAACCUGAAAACCGGUGGCUCUGCUGCUCCAGCCUUUGUGAGCCCUCAAACUGAAAGGCAACAAGAACCAGGGUUAUCAUCACAAUGAACACGAGCGGAAUCGCCAGCCGCCUGGUGCAAGCAGCGAAAUCAUCGGUUCGACGAGCGAGACUCCCUAGCUUAUAAGAAAUGUUCUACUCCUCCGGGCUGAAUUCGUGCGAAAAACUUGCUACCCUUUAAUUCAUUUUUCAGCAAAAAAAAAAAAAGCUAGAUCUGCCUAGUAGUAGGUAGUUCUGCAUACCACGCAUACUGAUAGGAUUCAAAUCGAGUGGGAAGGAAAAAGCUUCUCUUGAUAGGCUCCGUUCACCUUGCAAGACAGCAUUUCGACCAUGCAGUCGUCACUUGUUGAGGUCACACGCAGGACGAUCACCGGCACCACCUCGAAGUUCAAGAAGUUUAUUGUCGGUAAAGUGCACCUGCGCCAGGCAAGGAGGGGGGCUUCAGAUAAACUCCGACGACGGAAGGCUCAGCUCACACGACAUACAACUCCCCCCUCCCCCUGCAGUGACAAAAUGCUUACGCUGACCGUCGGGUUGAUCACGGACUGCUCUAUAAUAGUUGAGUUUAUGACUGGGAGACGAGAUCCAACGAGUGGGAAGUGGGAGGGAUGGGCAUAGAGCAAUUGACGGGAGUGUCCAACCAAGCAAUCGAAUAUGCAUCGGGGAAAGAAAGAGGCCACGCAUCUCCAGGAGCCGCCUCCUGGAGUGAUGCCCAAUUCGACAUGUGGCGGUGCACAACCAGGGUUUCUCAUUGGACAUUUAGAACUUGGCACAAAGUCGAGCGCAGCUCUGGGAAGGACGGUGCCCGAUCAUAUUGCCACCCACACCCGCACCCACACAGUCAUAGAAAUCGGCGAAAAUUUCGAGUAGCUGCAGUAAAAACGUGCGGGAGAGGAAAUAGGGACCUGUAUGUGCUCGUUUCCAGGCAUUCUAUGCUCUGCAACGCCCUGGUGUUUAGAAUUGACUCCACACCUGAUGGGUGGCUGAGGAAUUCGCUGAUUGGGAAGGCCUUGCCAUUACCGUCCCUGUAAUCAGGCAGCUUAAUGCUCUCCUUGUGCUUGGCAGAUAGGUUGGCCACCUUCUUCCCGUUGGGCUCCGGCAUCUCAGACCUCGGCGCCCUGAGUCUCCCAUUACUUCCCCUGGAAUGGAAACCUGUCAGCGCAUCGCCCAGAAUCUCACUGGAGCAGCAUAGAAAUAAGGAUCCCCCCGCCCGGAUGGGCAGGAAGGCGGGGUCAUGGCCUUCGUGGUGAGAGACCAACACCAUCCCAAAAAAGGGCCUAACAGUCAAGGAGACCCUCGGAACAGAGAUCGUUGUUCUGAGGCCCUGGGAUGCAGUCCGCGGGAGUACGGCGGCGGUGAACCUCGGGGCAACCGAUGUAAGCUAAUAUGAGAGAAAUUCGGAGAUCGAAAGGAGGAAACUUCACCUUCUGUCGCCGGUGCUAGGAAAUGGAGGGAGCCCACGGACCCCGCGGCGACGAAUCCCGCCGCAUCGAGCCUCCGGAAAAGGAAGACGAUAUACUGGUCCCCCUGCCAGCAUCACCAACAACCCUGAACGAAUGUUGGCAGCAUAUACACGAAGAGCAGAAGACAGAGGGAAGGGUCACGGCGCCGCCACCGCAGCAGCGGUAGCUGCAACCCCCCUAGCGGCGAGGGGCAGUUCAGGCGAAUAAUAGACGGGCCGCCGUCAGAGCUGCCCUUUAGUUUUUGCUCUCUCUCUCUCUCUCUUUCUCUCUCUCUUUCUCUCUCUCGAUAAUAUAUAUAUCUGCUCUGCCCCAUUCUACGACGCAUAUGGCCCUCUCGUUUUUAUGGCGGACAAGAAAACCAUUAUUUUUCUUAUUAAUCAACGCGAGGCCCCGAUCGACCUUCGGGGACUCGUCAAAACUUUUUUUUUCCGUUAGUUUACUCCCGGCCGUGGCGUUCUUCCCCGUCUCCAGAGUACAAAUUGCGGCGUUCUCGCGCUCCCCCUCCCCUCUCUUGGUCUUCGGUCUCCCAACCCGCGAUCCUCCUCUCUCGCUCUCCAGCGUCCCCGGCCCACGAUCAUCCUCUCUCGCCCUCCGGCCUCCCGCCCCGCGAUCGUCUUCUCCCUCUGCUUCUCUCCAGCCUCUCACUGCACGAUCGCCCUCUCCCUCUCCUCGUCUCCGGCAUCCGGCCCCGCGAUCAUCCUCCCCUCUCCUUCUCCCGGGCAUCCCUUCUUUCCCCUCUCGCUCUCUCCGGCCUCCACCUCUCUUUGAAGGUGCGAUCUUCUAAGCUAAUUGACCGAGUAUUCGUCUCGUUUGAUUUCCAAUCUUCUUCGUCCUAGGAAAACUGUUCAUAUUAUUCGUCGUAUUGCUCUUGUUUUUUCUGCAACUAUCAGUUCAGUAUAAUUUUUUCUACACGCUGAUGUUGCUGCAAUGUUCCGUGUGUGGAUUUCCUGCCCUUCUCUUUUCACGGGCAUCGCAAUUGGAACAAUGUAAAAAGAAAUUAGAUAGCGCACUACGACGCUUCGUUCGCAACGACCGACCUAAGGCCGUCGCCCUUUGCCUGGGCGAUCGCGCAGCCUCGUCGAAGUGAAGUCUCCCCGGGAGAGGCAACUUCACUUUAGCAUUCACGUGGCUUUCUCUUAUCCAAUUCCCUCUCUGCUUUGCCUUCUCUCAGCCGACUUCCCUGAUGGUUGACCUGCGGCUUGCUCCGCCUGGAGCGGCAACACUAGCCCGCGCGCAUCAUCUCGUUAAGUUUGCUGCAUGGAGCAUGUUCCUCGUUGGCUUGUCAUUUCAGAAUUGCAUACACGGUGGUGAACUCAUAUUUGCCAAUUUCGGCCUAAUGAUCAAGGAUCUGUGAUUGAAAAUCGGUGCUAAUAUCACUGCACAAGUGGGAGCUGGGAAUUCCGAUUCAAUUGAAGUCUAGACAAAGGGAGUAAAAUCGAUCACAUCAGAAGUUUUUUUUUUUGCCCAGUUCAUUUGUCACGUCAGGCUGAAGAAAUCCAGCGAGAACACCUCUUGAUCACGCAAAAUGUCCAGCAAUAACAUUGUGGAAUUUACAGUUCUCACAGGAUAUGAAUUGAGAAAUCCAACCUUCACGGCGUGGAUUCUCUAGAAAAGAAAAGAAAUUGCGGAUUUCAUUGCGAAAGAUAUGGAUGAUUUCAAGCCUUUUGAGUCGGCCGUAUAUAUCUUCUCGCCAUCUUCGUUGUCUUGUUCCGCUCCUGAGAGAAUAGCCGGGCCUUUUGGCUUUUGGACAAUCUAUUUGCGGAGGGCAAUUGGGGAACUGGUCUCUGCAAUACAGUCGAUUCCUGGUAGAGGGGGAGGUGAUGCCCAGCCAGGAAUUCCGUCGAGGCUUGUUUCUCCGACGAAAUAAGAUAUUGCAUCCGGCUCAGAUUGUGCUGAGUCGUCAUUGUGAUCAACUGAGCCCAGAUGAGGAAAUCCUGACCUCAUGACUCACCCAUUUCACGUUUCCUCCACAUAUUAGAUAGCUAUGUAGAUUAAACAGCUGUACCAGUUUCGAAUCUGAUUCAUGCCGGUUCGCUUUGUCAUGGCUCCUCGUACGCUUUUUUUUUGUUUUCCGACCAGAUUCAUUGGUGACUGUGAUACCAAGUAAAUUAGUAUCAGUGGUCCCUGUUCUAUCGGUUCUUUCUGUAACCCUUUAUUGGCCUUUUUGGUUCCUACGGACGUAUUUUGCAGAAUCCUUUUCAAUCUGCAGCAUGAAGAGGCCACUGACAGCUACCUUGUGUCUCAUCGGAAGAUGGUAAUCACGCUAUUAAAAUGCCUUCGGAUGACAAGUACAAGAUGGAUGCUCUUCUGCGAGGAUUAUAUGCAGCGGAAUAUGCGCGGAGGGACAACACCCCUUGCCAGAUCGAAGAGGUAGGAACGCUAUCGUUUCAGGCCCGCCGUCUGCCGCCUCUACUGUCGUCCUCCUCUCCGUUUCUUCGUGUUCCCGUCGCUGCUCCAAUGCUUACUUGGGGCCAUACUUGAGAGAGUUUAAUCCGCAUGUGAUCUGAGUCUUCCGUAUUGUCCAACGGAUUGAUGGUCGCGGAGAGGAUUCACGUGGUGUGGAGGCUCGCAUGCGGAGAGAAUCAUUAGAGCUCAGAGCACGCCAUCUAAUCCUCAGGGGCCAGUCCAUUUCACUUGUGGCGGUACGGAGGCCGGCCCCAUAGAUAUCUCCGGUGGCCAUUCUGCGAUAUACCACGCUUGGUGCAAGAAAGAGUGAACCCGUCGAUCUCACCUCUCAGCUUGGAAUGCGAGAGAAAGCCGGAAAAGUGACGAGCGUCUUCUCUUAAGAAGAGCAGAACAUCUGCCCCUAUCCAGCAAGGAUAAUAAUCUUUCGGUAUUAUUCUGAAACAUUGCAGGGUCUGUUCUUGGGUUCCGUUGGAGCGGCAUUCAGGAGAGAUGAGCUCAAGGCAUCGAAUGUGACUCAUAUCCUGACAGUGGCUAAGUCCUUGGAGCCUGCAUUUCCCAAUGAUUUCGUAUACAAGAAGAUCGAAGGUGAGACUUAUCCAGUCCACACUGUAGACAUUCAGCAAUACAUCCAUGUGAAGCCGGCUGAUUCUCCAGAGUGCGCGCAAGAACCACCCUUGACCUUAACACCACUGUCGUUUUCGUUUUCUGCCCGGUGCCUCGUUUUGGGCGAUUUAUGUUUUUUUUUCCCUCACUAAAAGAUGGCGCGGGCGCGGGGAUUGACUACAAUUGUGAUGCCGAUUUUGACAAAAUUUGUGCCUUGCUGAUGGACCCAGUGCUGGACAAUCCUUACAUGGAUUUAGCGCAGCAUUUCGAUGCAUGCAUUGAGUUCAUCGACGGGGCUAGGAGAGGGGGCGGCGCCGUGCUCGUUCAUUGCUUUGCGGGGAGAUCGAGAAGGUAUUUCCUGUCCCCUCCUCUGCGCCUCCUUUUGUUUUUGCUUUUUAGAAUCUGCAUCGAAGAGGCGGUUAGCCGGGGGACCUGCAACUUUGUUAUUACAGAAGAUGCUGCGCAAAUCUGUUUUUCUGCCAAAAUGAGGACAUGAUUCGGUCUGUGCCGGGGGAGCCUGGGCAAGUGUAAAUUUUACGCCAGAUCCUAAUGCCCGCCCUCCCGCUCCCCUGGUUGAUUCGACCGCGCGCACAACUAUCCCCUGGGGUGCCAUUUUUCCAGCAGUCGUCUCGAUUCCUGUCACCAGAUCGAGCGUUCGAUGGCUCGGGGAGCUGCCCAUUUAAAGCUAAGCUCCUGAGGACGACGACUCGAAAAAAAUCGUGUGGAUCUAGAAAGAGGAAGGUCGAGGGGGUAGCGAGCUUUCUCCGCUAUGCCCGACGUCGAGCAGGGUCCUAGGCUAGGCUUGAGAUCCUAGGCUUGCUGAGGAAGCAUGUCGUGAACAGGUGUCGUACAUUUGGCGGCGUAGGCUCCCUCCCCCGAUCUGGGAAUUGCGGACCUUGACACGAGCUUAGGUUUUAACUGAGUAGUCUCGGAUGGUUUGACGAUGCUCUGCUGUGACCUGCUGCAGUGUGACGAUUGUGGCUGCCUAUCUCAUGAAGAAGCACCGUAUGAGCGUUUACGAGGCGCUGACCCUCGUCAGAAGCAAACGGCCUCAGAUAUCCCCAAAUCACGGCUUCAUUCAGCAGCUGGAGGCCUUUCAAAGCCGCCUUCGAGGUAGAUUCCCUGUGGUCGAUCAGCUCCUCCCGCUCAUUCUGUCGACGCUCUGUUCGAACUCGUUCUCGAUUUUGGAACCUGCGCAUCCGUAGAACACACACGGGUGGCGACAUGUGUCCGAACCCGGAGCGGAUGUGGGGUCUUCGUUUCUUCUUUUCUGGCCUCUUUGACGGCCGCUGCAGCGCUUGCGAUUUCACGGCUGAUCUUAUCUUGCGACGACGUGUGCUUUCACCCAGCCCAUGCCGACGCUGAGACCUCCGAGCAGUGAGGAGAACCCCCGGAGCAGUUGUUGCGGACGGCCCGCCUCGGACCGACCGUUCCUCGGAGCUUCUGACGUCCUCGCCUGCACUCCCAUCUGUUCUUGAGACCUGCCUGUUGGCCAUUUUCCGUGUGCAUCAUACGUUUGGAUGGUCAAUUUGCAAGAAGUAGCGGCCUCGCAGCGCAUAUCUGCUGCGCUCUGCUCUCUGUCGAGACUCGCUUGCACCCUGUCCCUGCGUGCGCGCGCGCACACGCACUUGAACGUGCAGGAUGGUAUUUUCUUCUACUGUCGACAUGCAGAACGGUACUUUCUUCUACUGUGGACAUGCCGAAUGGCACUCUCUUCUGCUGUGGACAUGCCGAAUGGCACUCUCUUCUGCUGUGGACAUGGAGAAUGGUGUUUCCUUUUACUGUGAACAUGGAGAAUGAUAUCAUCGGCGGGUCGCCAAUGCGUGCUUUGAUGAUACGAAGCCGCCGCGUAGUUUGUUGUGUGGGAAGAUUAGACUGCUAGGAACCUGUCAGAAAACAGGAGGCACCUUGAGCGAGAGACUCGCCUCCGGCCCCGGCCCCGGCCCCGCCCCCUCCUUUCUCUGACCCCUUUGUCGAGCGGGGAAAUUACAACAAGGAAGGAAAUGAGAUGCUAGCUGCAACACACGGCGACCCCCGUGCGGCCAGUCUCGCUCGAACAGCGCCCCACCUGCUUGUUGCUAGGGCCCGUCGUCGCCGUCCUUGAUGAGGUUGCAAAUGUCCGAGCACUCCACCAAGCUGCCACGGUCAGGGACGGUCGAUGUCAGGGGGCGGGCGCGAGGGCGAGGGCGUGGUGGCAUGAAAGGGCUAGGUUUUUUGUGAGGAAAAGGCAAGCAGGAAGGACUUGCCAGUAAUUGCGGCUGCGGAAGCCCGACUUGAAAACCACGAGGGGCCUGCAUUCAUCAACCGGGGGGGGCAGUCAGUCAAUGCACUGUUAUCCUCUUGUUUCUCCUCACCCUGAGAUUUUUCUUUUUCACCACCUGCGGACGUUGAAGGGGCCCUCGCCGGGGGAGCCGGCGCCGCCGCGAAUGCAGGUUCCGAGGCACUUGACGGUGCACGACUCUGCCUGCCUCGACUUAGGCUUCUGGAUUCUCUUGCGCUCCCCUCCGCCACCUGCCACCUCCGCCUGGUCACAAUCUCCCCAAUUGCCAAUCGCCAAUUCCCGAUCCCCCGAUGUGCGACGAAACACUAGGCAAAGGUGCGAACCGACCGACUUGACUAACCGGAGAGCGUCUGAGGCACGUCCGCAAGGGUGGCAUCGUCCGGUAAUGGCGAAGACUCCGCGGGGCCGCAGGAGGAGGAAGAGAGCACAACCGCCGUCGCUAGCAGGCCCGGCAGCCAUCUGCACGCCUCGACGGGGCUCGGCCCUCGCCUUGCGCCCGCAGAGACGCAGGGGGGGGAGGAGGAGGAGAAAGAGGGCGCCGAGCCCGCGAGGAUGUGGUGGCUAAGGCGCCAAGAGAGGCGCCGGCGGCGAGGGAAGGGAAGGAAACGGGGCAGCAGCGCUUGGCUGCGCGGCUGGACGAGGAGCGUCAUCCUGGAUCGUUUCUCCACAGCCACAACUGAGUCCCGACCCCCCACCUUCCCCCCUCCUGCUCGGUCGGUUUUGUUCGCUGGCACUCGGCCCUGGCGCGGUCGAGAUGGCCCAUUCGCGGCGGCCUCCUCUUUUGGCCCAUUGAGCCGUGCCGCGCUGUUUCAUAACUCCGGCUAUUUCGGCCUUUCUCCCGCUCAGCGAGACCGCCGCGACCUGGAGAGGCGGGGGCCGGAAGAGGAGCGGCGGAGGAUAGUGCGUUGCCUCUGAGAACGAGAGGGCUCCGCCGACGGCAACGCGGGGCAUUCAUCACGUCAGUCCAAUGCGCUUCGCAGCGAGGACGAUUAGGAAGGACCUUCUGUUAAUAUCGGCGCCCGUAAGUCGGGCGCGUGUAAUGAUGGAUCAUCGCGGCUGUAAGAAGAGAACCUUACCGCGUUUCUCCAAGGGAGGGAGUCCCUCUCUCUCUCUCNNNNNNNNNNNNNNNNNNNNCUCUCUCUCUCUCUCUCUCUCUCUCUCUCUCUCUCUCUCUCUCUCUCUCUCUCUCCCCCUUCCCUCUCCCUCGUGUGACUCCUACGUUUCAGGUCUUAUUUCAAGUAGAACAAUUAGCCCCCCAACUAACCAGGGUACCGCUCUCUCUCAUCUCCCUUUAUGUCACUUCAUCAUCUGGUAUAAGAGUCACACCUCCCAAGCCAAGUGGUGCUAAAAUAGAGAUCAUUGAGAAGGAACUAGAAGACUUAUGGUGGGACAUCCCGCAGAAUGCCACCACAAACCAGGCAAAUGAAAAAGAACUUAGACCCAUUAUAGCCCUCCAGAAGUUCCAAUAGAUAAAAGAGGCCAUAGCCUUGUUUUUUAUGAAAGGACAACACUAGAGGAAUCAAAGGUCUGACUACAGCCAAUUCAAAUCACAUAGAAUCUGCUCAUCCAGAAAGAAGAAUAAUGAUUGAUCUUCCCCCUACAGAAAUUCAGGGGUGCCAUUCCAAGGGGUUAUGUUUUACUUAGACGAGAAGUUUUCUCCAAGCCAUUAGUUUCGUAAGAAAUUACAGAUCCUUAUUAUACAAGAAGAGACUGAAUUUUAAUGAUAUACUUUGGACACGAGAAGAUUUGAGUGAUAGCCAGGUUGAAGAAGAAAUACUCACCAAUCUCAGAGUGUCUUUUAAGUCAAACACAUAAAUAUUACCGACAUGAGCUAUGAAAUUUCAAGGAAAAACCAAUAGCAAAUCGGUCACAAUCUUCAUUAAUAGUGGGAGAACACACAACUUAUCUGCCUUGAUAUUUUAUAGGAACUAAGCGUCCCAAUUAUUACCACCCAAUGAUAUCAAGUGAUCAUCGGACAUGAAGAAAUGAUGCUAAUAACCAUAAUCUAGCAAAAAGUUACUAUUACCCUACCAUCUCUGAGGAUUUUUGGAUCUUGUCACUAGCUUUAGUCGAUGUCAUCUUUAGUUUGUAAUGAAUCUUUGUGAUUAAGAACAUUGAGAUAAACUUUAAUCAAUGGACCUUAUCUGAACAUAACAAAUUACCCUUAGAAAAAAAAUGUCUACCAUCAGCCAGUGAUCUCCCGCAAGUCCUUGUCCAGAAUUUUAAAUAAAGGAAAAUUUUGUUGCAAGCUUUACCAAUUGACAUGACAAGAUUUCGGUGAUAGUUUAGUUUCACUUGAAAUUUAGUGCAAGACUCAACUCCUUGAUGUCUUCAUAAAGAUUUGAUGGCUGCUCCCAAACUAAGAUGUGAAUCAUGUCAUUCCAUUGGAACAAAACGCAAAGUCGAUCAAUAUCAAACUACUAAAAUAUUUGCACUAUUAAAAAAAGAGCUAGAAAAAAAAGGAAUUAUUCAACUCUCAAAUAGUAUUUUCUCAAACUCCACUCUCUUCAUAAAAAAAUAAAGAUAUGUGGAGGUUAUACAUGGACCACCACACCCGACAAGGCAACUAUCCUAAAUUGCCUCUCGAUUUUGGUUGAAGAAGAACUGCAAGAUGAAUUGCAUGAGCUAAAGGUAUUUUCUAAGUUGUGCUUAGCUACCUCCAAAUAUGAAUAUAAGGAAAAGAUAAUCCCAAGAUGGUAUUUCGGAUGUAUAGAGGAUCUUACAGAUUUUUCAUGGUCGUUUAACUUCUUGAAUGUCUUAACAAUUUUCAAAACGCUAAUGAACACAGUUUUCUAUAACUUUCUUCGAAUGUUAGUAUUAAUCUUCUAAUUUAUAGUAGGAACUUGGUGGCACGUGAAUGUCAUCAAACAUUAGUCUUCAGUGUCCUCCAAACUCAUUAGUUAUAUGUCAAAUUGAAGAAGUGCUUCUUCAAACAAUCAUGGAUUGCAUAUUUGGACUACUGAGUAUCUAUGGAAGGGGUUGAUUUGGACCAAGACAAGUUGAACAACAAUAUUAUCCUUCUAAUCUUCAUAUGCUAAAAGGAUUAUUUCAAGACUAAGAAACAAGGCUGGAGUAUAUAAUAAGAUUGUUGAUCUCUUAUCACAGAUACUAGAUUGAGCUUAACUGCAAGCUAUAGAAUGAUCUCAACUUGAACUAAUCAAUAUGGAUUGAGUCUAAACUCAUGUAAAAUUCUAAUUAACAUACAUUAUUGAAUGACUUCAACAUCAUUAAGAGAAAUUAAUUAAUUAGUCACUAUGGUAGGGGCAUUUAGUAUAUGGUGAACAACUAAUGAUUUCCAAGGACUUUGUGAUCAUCCCCAACCUUAUGAAAUAUUUUCACGACUUGACAAUUGAUGGUCUCUCACGAUUUUUAUGAAUAUACCUUCAAUUCAAGAAGAAUUUGAGGUGGAUUGGCAUUAAUAACUGCAUUAAGAAUUAAUAUAUCUACUCACUCUACUUGUCAGAAAAAAAUAAAUUUUAGUCCUCUGUUGUUGGGCUUUUGAAUCCCUUAUUGAUUGUAGAGAGUUGUAAUAUGACAUAGCACAUACUAACUGAAAUAUUUCAAAUUUGACGGAUUCAAAGUGAUACUGAUUGUGAUAGAUUAAUUGAUCAUGAUAUUUUCUCUCCCCUUCAACAAAAGAGAGCUAAAAUUUUCAUUUUCUGACUACAUAGAUUUCUAUUACAGCUCAUCAUCCACCGUGAUCAUAUCUUCAUGAAUAUUUUUUGGAAGAAGUUGUUCAAACUCUAAAGAAUAAUUCCUCACCAUAGUAUCUCAUACCACCCCUAAAGAAACGACUAAUCUGAAGUAGUUAAUCAAGGACUAGAAACAAAUGUUUCUUACUUCAUUUGUGGCCACUCUCACCAAUAGAACAAAUAGUUGGCAUUAGCCAAACUUCGAUACAACAUAAAUUUCCACUCUUUUGUAGAAAUUUUACCAUUUAAAGUCGUUUAUGUACGUGAACCAACAACCUAUCUUUAAUAUGAGCUACAUUCAGUGAGGUCAUGUGAACUCGAGUAAUUACUUCAAGAGAGAGAUGCAGCCCUUGACCAACUCAUUAACUUUUGAGAAAAGCCCAAGCUCAAAUAAAACCCUACGCUGACGACAAACAUAUCAAUAUUGAGUCUGAGGAAAGAGACCAUGCGGUGGUCUUUCAAAAACCUUGCCCCACAUUACUUUGGCUUUGUUAGUAGGUAGCCUACUUAGUGUUCCCUUCGUGUUUCAUGUCUCGAAACUCAAAAAAAAUAGGUAACUCAACUCCUUUAGACUUUUCUAGCCCACGAAUGCUUCACGAAAACCUUAAUUAAGCCCUGUAACCAUUUGAUUUCCUUGCCAUCCAACAUGAAGCACACAUGAUUGGAAUUGUGAUAUAAUGGCAGAGAAUUUCGAUCAUAUAGAAGAGGCUGCCAAACUCGAAGGCCAUGUGGGAGUCAACUCGAACUAUUUACCAAUAAUGUUAUGACUUCCACAUUGCCGAUAAGGUGAGACUUCUAUGGAGGGUUAUUGCUGAGACACACAUUCUACUCUAAUCUAUGUAGUGUAGAAUGUGAGUGUCUCCCUCUCCUCUCUCUCUCUCUCUCUAUCUAUCUAUCUAUCUAUCUAUCUAUCUAUCUAUCUAUCUAUCUAUCUAUCUAUCUAUCUGUCUGUCUAUCUAUCUAUCUAUCUCUCUCUCUCUCUCUCUCUAUCUAUCUAUCUAUUUAUCUCUCUCUCUCUAAGUAGAACAAUUCACCUCCCUCCCUGGGGCCCCAUCAGCUCCCUGGCGAGAUCGAUAGCGCGCAGGGAAGGCAGCAACCGAGAAGCACCAUGUGACGGACGGACCCUCGAAGCACGCGUAGUAACUGUAAUCCCGGAAGUAGCAGGACCCGUCAGCUCGCUGCCGCUCAAUCCAGGCAGAAGCUGCAGGACGCAUCCGCUCGUUGGCCUGCCUGCCUGCCUGCCUCCACCAUCCAUCCAUUAAUUACAUGAGCAGUCUUCCCACGCCCAGCUGAGAAGUCGCAUGGAAAACGAAAUUUAUGAUGGGAAACCACAGCUCGUCAUCCCACAUCCGCGCAUCCAGGGCCGCAGGGAGAAAACAAACUGCGCCGUUUUCUCCCCCGGCCAUCCCCGUUCAUACUGUCAGAUCGCGGCCGACAAGAUGACUGAGACGGAGGCAGAGACGAAGAUGAAGAUGAAGACGAAGAAAAUCUCAACCGUUAUUCGUUACGUCUGUUGACAACUGGAAAUGCGUACAUGUAUAUAUAUGUUCAUAUGUACACACAUGCAACCAUACUGACUACCUCACACAGAAUCAAUCCCGCGGAGCUACCGAAUCAAUCGUGCACAUAAAUUACACUGGGCAGCGUAGCGAGACGCCGCCCCUCCCCGACCAAACUAUACAGUCCCCCUCCGGCAUGGCGGCCGAGAAGAGCCCCAAGCCCGUCCUAGAGAACGGAGACCUUCCGCCGGGAGCCAGAAAGCACCCUUUCAGGCUACCAGACUUGUGGCAGACCAUUAUUCACUCCGUCUACCGGAAGCGAAUGACGAUGCACGAUAUGUCGUCCUUGCUCUUCCUUGCCAACGCCUCCGUUGUCAGGCGCUUGGCCGCGGCUCGCGGAUCCUUGACGGAUUUCACCAGAUCAACUGCUUCCUGGUUCUUCAUAACCUGCCAAACAAAAGGGUGAACUCUUAAGCCUUCACAUGCAUUCCUCUUCGGCGCCCAAGAAAUUUAGCACACAUGCACAAACAUCGUCAUAAAUCAGGAGGAUAUAACGGCGAAAUCAGAGCGCUUGAAACUCCCGCUCGUCCUCGAAAAAUAGGGAAAAAAAUGGACGAUUUCAUCUAGCCAGGCGAGCCUACAACAGUAGGCUACAGUGGCAGGGGACACAUUUGAGCACUCGUCCGCACUUCUUUCCUCGGAUAUCUAUGCAUAGACAACACUACUAAUCUAAACAUGCACUUCAGCCUGAUUUGAUGAUGAGAUCAGAAGGCAAGCUUGCCGCCACCUUUAUUUCAUUAGUUGUCGCAUGAGGUGCCUACAAGUCUUAUUUCAGGACCGUCUCUAAAAGGGGAAUCACACGAAAUGAAAGCACAAAAAUGCUGGACAAACUCAACAACAAUCCAUCAAGAAGAAUAUGGUUGCUAUAGCUAAUGCGACGCCUGCAAUGGCAGUAGUCUGAACAAAUCAAACGUCUUGCAAGACAAUCGCAGCAGUUAUCCAUAAAGUGCAAAAUCUUGGCAGAAAAAAAACAUUAUAAGAACGAUACUAGAAUAAUGUCAAAUAAUUUUUACUCCAAAGGGAUUCCAGAGCAAAACAUCCAGUAAUCGAUGACCAAGAGCGCACAUACAUUGGUGGAAGCAAAAUAAGAGGAUCCCAUUCUAAAAUGCAUGCACACCCGCAACGGUUGGACUUCGAUGGUGACAUAUUCUUGGAUGGAAAAUUAGAUCCGUGAUCACCGACAUCUCUUCCAAGACAAGGAACCAAUUCAGGCGUAGAUCAGCCAGACAGCAGGCUCAGAUCAGAUGGCGUGGCUUAGAUUGGUUCAGAAGGGUCUGUUGGGCCAGAUCAGGUCUACGGUGCUCUCAGAAUGAUCGUUUAUAGUAAGCAGCUUUCGAAUUUGGUGAAGCGAGAGUCGUUGGUCAACCAUCGUGCCAACCAUCGGAAUGUUCUGUACACCAUCGUCAUUUUUUAAUGCAAAUCGACAAGUAUCAGGAUGAUUUAAGCUUUUAAAUCGCAGCAAAGAGGUAGCAUCCAAAUCAGAUUCCUGAAUUACCUAAACUAUCCCACAACGCCUACCUGAAAAUAUUUUUUUCGUGUUAUAUAUACACACACGCGGCAGGUUGAACAGCUGAACGUAGAAGUCAGUAAACUGGAAGCGUUUGAUAAAGUUAGAGGCUGCUAGUAUCCCUAUCGUUAUUGGGUACUGACUAGGAUAAAUAGACUAUGCUCGGUCAUUGAUCAUCCAUAUAUGCAACUGACCAGAGGAAGGGACCGGAAAAAACAAACCCGAAGGUGGGAACAUAUGAAAUAAUGGCCCGGUGUAGAAGAUCAUGAAAGGAGAGGUUCGAGUUUCAAGACCAAAAAAACUAGCAAAGCUAGUCAGAGGAGAUUUGCAGCAGAAAGAAACUUUUAACUAGACAAAUAGAUCGUGGAGAAUUUAUCCAGGCGUCCUAGGCAGCAGAUGAUGAAUUCAAGAUCCAGGCCAUGGCAGAAAAAUUGUGGCUGGUGAAAUGAGAUCGUGGGAUUAAGCAGCGUGGCUUCAAAUGAUGCCUUCUCCAUCGGGGGGAUCCCGGGUAGUAAAAAGUAUACAGGCAUGAAGUAUUUGGAGAAGAUUGUCGGCUCUGUUUGAUCUCAUACAGAAAGAUGCCAGUCUCACGUCUCAUCAUCUCAUUUCAAUUGAGUGCCCUUCCUUAGCGACUCAAUUUAUUCUCCAUCUACAUACAGAACGGCUAAAAAGUAGGCUCGCCUCGGACCCUGCCAGCCCUGAGAUGAGACUGAUACCACUGAAGAUGUUUCGUCACCUAGAUUCUCCGUCCGCGAACCCACGUUCAGGACGACAUAAACACAAAAGAUUUCUUCAUAUAACCCUGUACACUCAACAGCGAUGACACUCGGAUUAAUUUUUGUCCUAGACCCCGGACAAGUACAGUCCAGGGUGAUAUGCCUCUUCCAUGGAGUAAUCACAACACACAGGCUUGUUUGUUGCUACAUGGUUGUAAAUUUUGAUUCUUGUCUUCCCCUUUCGCUGACAAGUUUUUUCUGAACCCUUCCCUCCGAUUGCACCACAUCAGCAUAGCAGCAAUCAUCAAGCUCCAUCCAGAUUUUAGAGGAUCUGACAACUUUUAGGCUCCUUCGAAAAAAAGGAUGAUUUUUGAAUCUUAUUGAAAAAAAGCAGUGACACAUUUACGGUGAUUAUGCCCUGAUCUGACCGUUCAAUGUCUCCUUUUGAUUCCAUUUCAUAUUUCCUUCCAUCUUUUGUCUGAUAUAUCAGGCUUUGAGGCAGUGCAACAAUGCACUAGUUCCUAGGAAGGUUCUGCCAGAAAACAGUCCUAGAAUUUUCCUUUAGGAGGAGCUAGUCAGAGUACCUCACUAGAACUUUUUUCCAUUUACAAAAGAAGGACACUGAAAAAAAAAAGCACCGCCUUUAACCUGAUAAUCAAGUGAAAGAAAAGGUGCUCCUUAAGCUGAUAAUCAAGAAUUAUGAUAGCCCAGUCUUUCUUAAUCACAUGAGACAGCAUACAAAAGAGACACACACAGUUCCAAAAUAGGAUAUUCAUUCAGCAUCCACUGCACCAACGUCAGGAAAAUCUCUUUAUCCCUGGCAAACCCCUCAAUAUUUCUCAGAAUUCUUUUGUUCCUAAUGUUUUCAAGAUCUUCCUUCCCCAACCAUUAAUUAACAUUCCAAUACAUUCAGAUAACUCUUAGCCAUUUCCUUAUUUAUUACGAUAGACAUCUAGGAGAACGCAACCCCCUUGUCCCAUGCACGUGAAAUUACAUCUGUCUCAUCUGGCCACCCAAAUUAGGGAGAUAACAUUUAGAAUCAAUAAUGUCCAAGGCUGGGGUCCAGAGCCCUCAUACAGACCGUCACUUAAAUAAUGCACCGGCCAGGUUUUCAAGAGUAGGUAUUUUAACGCAUAUCUACUGGGAAUUCGGACCGGUUGAUGCACAAAUAUUUUUUUUUUUUUUUUUUUAGUUUUGAUGCACAAAUAUCUAGCAUAUCAUUCAGCACAAACUUCUUCAUUGCUGUUCCUCCGGUAGUCCCCCCUAGGGUAACCAAAGAAAUAUCACGAAAAGCAUUACUGCUGUGUCAUCACCCUGUGUAAAAAAAAUUCCUUGUCUUUUCUCAAAUCUCUAAUCUGAAGCAUCGAUUAAUUUCUCAGCUCGUUGACCAACCAGAGGAAGACCAUGAUGUUGACUCUCCACAACUGGGAUGUGAUAUACCGCUUAAAAGAACAAGUAGUCUCAAAUCUCCCAAAAGCUGAAAAUUUUCAUUUUCACUUGUUCACCUGCUUGCUGGAAUUGGAAAACAAAACUAGCAGAGAUAAAACACGAGGAAACAGAGACGCGGAGCAUAAACGAAAACGAAUAGAGAAGGAGAGUAGAGCUGUGGACGGUGGAAACUAUUCUCCCCCCUAAAUUUUUGGAGCGAAACAACAAUGGCAUAUCAGGCUGGGGAAACGAAGAUAGUAAAAGCAGAUCAGGCAACACCCAACAGGAGGCCAAUGGUGAACGUAAAAACAGACCUUCCAUAGGCCAUCACUUGCCAAUAUGACAAACUCCGUUGUCGGGUCUAGGGGUACGUGCUUAACAUCAGGUUCUGAGCUCAAGUGCGCCUUAAGGCUCUGAUCACCAAAUGCACGAGCAACUGCAAGUUGACCGUUGACACGAGGGACGUCCCCUGGGAUUGCGGGAACACAAAUGUGAGUGAUGAACGCGUUCAUCCAGAGGAAGCAAACGAACCGGUGAAAGCAGCCAAAGCGAAAUAACAUCCAACAAGGGUUGAUGGGGCCUGGUGCAUGGUAAUAAGCAUGAAUACGAAUACGGUCCUAUGGUCAGGUAUCUACCAGGGAGAAUCGUGACAAAGCCUCCUUGCUUCUCAAUCCUUUUGCGCUCGAUGUCCGGCUCAUGAUCCACGGAGAGCUGUUGGGCAGCACCCUGCUUGCAGACGACCGCCCUGGAGUCACCCACGUUGGCUAUCCACAAGUCUCGACCAUCGAUGACUAUUGCUGUGACCGCCGUCGAGCCCCCCGGUCCCAACCUUGCUGCAUUUUCGAGGAUGAACCGAUCGGUCGAUUGAUAAGCAUUCCUUAUGGCUGCCUCAGGGUCCCUCCAAAAAUUUGGCUGCUCGGCGGACAACAACCAUGACAAGUAAGUGAACCACCUUGGCAGCUUAUGAAAAUGAAUAAAUCUGAACUGCCCUCGACCAGCAGUCAACGACACGCAGUCUGCACAAGAAGAAACGGCUGAAUAAGCGAAUCCGGCGCAUCACUGACCUCCUUGAGUAUGUUGGUGAAGAGAUUGCCCUUGAGGUAGCUGGGGACGCUGUCGCCAAGGUGCCCAUCAAAGAUGGCGUAGAGGCCGAGCUCGUGACCCCUCUCGUACCGGUGCUCUGCAACGUGGUAGUCCUCCAUGUCGUGGCCUGACUGGCCUUUUACCAAGUGGUAACCAUGUGCCCACUUGUUACUUGACUUCUUGCUCCGCCCCUUUCCUGCGGUGUCCCCGGCCGAUGACGAGAUCAGGCAAGCGGCAGCCUUAUCCACGGGAGAUAGAUGGAAAUCGUGUAAGGCCCAAGCAAAGGCAUUUAGGAGGCAGCGACAGACAAUCAUAUAAUGGACGGAAUGAGCAACAGAAAUGGCAAUUAACCGCGUACAAAGAAAGGGAAAGAAACAUUGAGGCCACCGAUCGUCCAACGAGGCCAUCUAGCCAUCCGACUAGAGAAGAUCGGGGGGGAAAGAGAGAUUGAUAAAUGGAUGGAGGGCUAUACAGACAGAGCAAUAGGAAGAUCAUCUACCCCAAUCUAUCGAAAUUCCUCCUGGCGACUAACGGAGAACAGGAACAGUGAUAGGUAGGGGAGAGAGUUUUGUUUUGCGAGCUGCAGACCAACCAGUGCCAGCGUUUACAACUGGUCUCGCGGAAGUCAACACCCGCAGCGAAGGGAGAAGACGGGGGCAAUUUUCAGUCUCGGGAGGGAGCAAACCAGAGUUGCAUACCUUGAUCAUACUAAAUAAUUCGUUCCUCCUGCGGGUGGUGGUGGAGGAAGACGAGGACGGGGAAGAAGAGGAAGAACAGGCGGCGGAAGGGGCUUGCUGUGGCUUGUCCAUAAAACCGUCCCGAGCGCAGCGGCGUCCAGGCAUUACUCCUUUCGGCGCAUCAAGGGUAGGAGAAGGGUCCUGGCGCGCAAAGCACCAAGAGCGAGGGGGGAGAGAACGAGGCAGAUGGGCAGGCGAAGACCGGCCGCUGUCGCGACAACGAACAGAUUGUUCACAGCUCCGAUAGAGGGAGGACUAAGUCGGGUCACUCCGGUUUAGGCGGUGGUGGGGGAGGCGGCGCAGCCGCCAAGUCAACGGAGAAAACCGCGUGAGAUCUUGAGCGGAUACACGACGGACGGCGCGUGAGUCCCGGUGGGAUUCGGAUCCAAGCGGAAAAAAAACGGUGGACCGCGUGACGUAUGAGUAUGGAAAGAGGCGAGGAGACGGCAAGACCCCAAAAACCCCCGCUCCGGCCGUGCAUUCAUGACCAUUUAUUACGAGAGACGCUUCCGUGAAGACCCGGAAAUUAUGCCGCCACCAAAGGCGCAAUUUUUAUCGUCGCGCCUGACCGCUGACGGCGAAAUGAGCCUCCGAAUCGCGUCGCCCGGGCGGCUUGCACGUGCUGGGGAGGGGGCAGAUAAGAGGCAGACCUCAACAAUUAAGGAAGAGGGAUGGCCAGAUAUCCCAUCUGACGGUCGAAUACCGAAGCGAUGAAGUCUUCGCGUGCACAGAAACGCGAACACACGAUAUGAGACGGAGGCGUAUCGCCAGUUUCGCUGACCAGCGCCCGCGGAGAAACCGUGCUGUUCUGUGACCAUCUGUCAGCCGGCCCUCGGUUGAGUAGAAGGUGAGAAGAGGGCAGUUUUCCUUCUCUCGGGCAGGAUCGGUGCCAGCCGCCUGUCCCCGCACGGCAGGAAGUUAAGUAAGGAGGGUGGGUGUGUUCUCUACGCCGCGUGCCGUGUGAUGCUGCUGAAAUCAAAGGGAAUCUGCGCCGCGGGCGUGCACGUUCCGGAUAGCGUCGCCAUCUCGAGUCGAAACUCCGGAGGGGAGCGCCCGGGUGACCCGCCGGGGGGGGCGAGCACGGCGCCAACGGAGAAAAAACAAGGAUGCACGUGUGGAGAAGAAGAAGCAGCCGAAGCUUAACAAACAAACAUCGCCAGGGCCAAACCACCAUCCGGACCGGCCCUCAGUUUUUUCUACCAAAACCGGUGAAACCAGAAGGCGCCGGACGGGGCGUCUAUGUUACAUUUUAUGCAGCCGGCGAGGAUGGGAAGGGGGGGGGGAGGGGGUGGCGGUGAGAGAGUGGGAUGGGGCGACGGAUCGGCUUGCACUCUCUGAAGAAGCACAAGGAUGAAUCAAAGAAUAAAUGAACCCCAGGGCCGGCUUGAUGCGUCGCUGUGUGGCGGGCGUCGCGUUAUUCCAAGCGGGGGGAGCCGGUCUCCACCCCCCCUCGGUCUCCUCCGUCCGGGCGUGCCAUCGGCCGCCGCCUGGCACCGGGGUUUCUGCCCUCGCCUCGCGUUGCUCCCUGUCUAUUCGGGCGGUGCGCAGCGUGCAGUGUGCACUGUAGAAAGAAGCAGAAUCACGUUCCUUUAUACUCCCGCCUCCGCCUCGCACGCCUCAUGUAC
RNAcentral lists this long non-coding RNA (21556 nucleotides) under Spirodela polyrhiza (greater duckweed). RNAcentral describes it as "long non-coding RNA (SPOL_LNC001744)". Lineage: Eukaryota; Viridiplantae; Streptophyta; Magnoliopsida; Alismatales; Araceae. The record is from RNAcentral.